RNAcentral lists this unclassified non-coding RNA (357 nucleotides) under Hevea brasiliensis (rubber tree). The record is from RNAcentral. Lineage: Eukaryota; Viridiplantae; Streptophyta; Magnoliopsida; Malpighiales; Euphorbiaceae.
UACAGAGGCGCUCCGAAGGAGCGGUAUUGCUAUAGCAUUUGGUUCGUGCUAUUACCUAUUUCUCCUAGCUGAAAGCUGACGGGCUUGUUUCACACAGACUCAAUUGGAAACUGAAUUCAAAACACUUGACUCGGAAAAGGUGGGCUAUAGCCUCUAUCUAUAUCGAGGGAAUUGAAAAUUUUCGAGGGAGAAUGAAGCAGGGGUCUGGUCUUUAGGAUCGCCUCGAUAUAGAGGCGUCCUUUCCCGAGUCAAAAACGAUCCCACUGAUAAAACAAAUAAGGGAGGGGCUUUCUUUAUGUGGUGGACCAAACACAUAAAGCGGCUUCCACCCGCCGGCAAAGAGAUCUCGAUCCCUGG